UAGUUAUUUCUUUAAACCUAAAGAAUUUGGCGGUGUUUUAUUCUAUUCAGAGGAACUUGUCUAGUAAUUGAUAAUCCUCAUUUUAUCUUGCUUGAUUUUGUUUAUAGUAUGUAUACCGUUGUUAUAAGUUUAUUUUUUUAGAAUUUUAAAUUUACUUUUUAUAUAAUUUUAUGUUAUUUCAAAUCAAGGUGCAGCUUAUAAUUAAGUUUUGAUGAGUUACAAUAUUAUUUAAAUAUAUGGAUGUAAUGAUUAAUAAUUUUAUUGAAAGUGGAUUUGAUAGUAAUAUUAAUAAUAGAGUUAUAAUGAAUAUAGCUCUAAAAUGAGUACACAUCGCCCG
Molecule: ribosomal RNA, 337 nt
Filed under: Carausius sp. SB0553
Lineage: Eukaryota; Metazoa; Arthropoda; Insecta; Phasmatodea; Lonchodidae
Description: partial small subunit ribosomal RNA
Source: RNAcentral